UAAUGAAGGUGGGUAUGGAGGCUGAAAAACUCGUAGAAAUAUGAUGCUGUCAUCAGCUUCUUCUCUAUUACUUAUCUAAGAGACUGGAGUUAAAUAACAGCAGUAAAUAU
Magnolia sinica is the source of this 110-nucleotide small nucleolar RNA. RefSeq annotates it as small nucleolar RNA snoR97. The record is from RefSeq and is a predicted model, not a curated record. Lineage: Eukaryota; Viridiplantae; Streptophyta; Magnoliopsida; Magnoliales; Magnoliaceae. The transcript has a single exon.